UCGAACCCAGGCCCCCUGCAUCAGGAGCGUGGAGUCUUAUCCACUGUGCCACCAGGGGAGUCCUGAAUUGGAGCUAUUUUAAAACAAUAUAUUGUGCCAUCGUGUGGGUAUGUCAUACAAAGCAUAGACGACCCCUUAUUUUACAGUUUUUUUUCAAUUUUCUAUUAAAAAUAGCUAUUUUAAAAGUUUUUAAAAAUCAACGUUAAAAAAUAACUAUUUUUUGUUACCUCCAAAUGAGAUAUCCAAGUCAAAGCAUAGCUCUUGAAAAGGUGAAUGACCCAUCAUGACUUCUAAAUGAUGAAAAUUUUCAAAUACAGAGAAGAUGUCUGAUACCUAAGGACCCACCAUCCGAUUUAACAAGGGAUAACAUCCUGCCAUAUUUGCUUCAUCUUGAAUUUGGUGGUGGUGGUGGGGGAGAUCUUUGAUAUCCUUCCCUGCUUCUUCUUUCAGGUUAAUUUCACUAUGUAUCUGCAAAUAACAGCAGGUAUUCUUCAGCGAUUUCUUGGCAUUUCAGUUUACCUUUAUAUUAACUUGAAGAAACUGAUCUUUAUUCUGUGUUUCAAACUGAUUCACAUCUUCCUCUAUUUCUCCCUUUAGGACUGGAUUUUCUUUGAGUAAACCCCUAUGUUCUGAACAGGAUUAAUAUGCUUGGAUUUAAUGUUUGCUCUAUUGUCUGUGUCAGAUGGGGGUUGGGAUGGGGGCUUUUAGCCAGGUGAUCUUUCCAUCAGUUAGACAGUUGUUUCUCUGAGCAUUCUUUAAAGCCCUGAGAUCUUCAGUUCUCAGAACUUGAAGUAAACACAUCACUUAGUUUUAGGGCACACCAGUUUUCCUAUUACAGAACUAUUUAUUGUCUUAGAAAACUUAUGAGUAAAUAGGUUCUGUAUUUCCAUUCCAUUUUGGUAAUGGAGACUCACUUUUUAAGUACCCAAGGUCACACUAGGUCAGAAAUCUGGAAUAUUACGUUCUGGUGGUAUAAAAGUAUCCUUGUCAUUGUUUAAAAGGACUAGUGCUAUAUCAUGCUGCAACUUGCUUUUAAAUUGCAGGGACAAAUUGUUCCAGAACGGGAAGAGAAUGCCCUGCCCAGCACCUGCACAAGACUCUACACUGCAAAGGCUAACCCAGAUCAGUUGGCAGGCGAGGGAGCAGUGGUUACUGGGCAGAGUGCAGGUUCCUUGGAGUUUCUACAUUCAGCCACUACAUGGUGAAGCACACAGGAGAAGACCCCACAUGGAGCCCCAAUCCAAUCAGCCCUCAUCAGACCUCACUGACAGCAGGUUUUACAAGGAAACUGUCCAACCAAUUGGUAUCUUUGGAAAGGCUGGGCUGGAUCUUCCCUAGCAAGCCUUCCACCUGCAACUUUUUUUUCUCCAGCCAUUUCUCUCUUUGACCCGACUAUAAAAAGCAGGAAACCUUCCUCUUCUUCUUUUCUUUGGCCAUGCUGAGCAGCUUUCAGGAUCUUGGUUCCCCAACCAGGCACUGAACCCACCACAAGUGAGGCGCCGAGUCCUAACCACUGGACCACCAGGGAACUCCCUGGGAAACUAGGAUGCCUGUGAUUGAACUGGACAGGGAAUGGAUUGGUGUCUGUAAGCAGCCAACAGCCAGCAGCUUUUCAGAGUUACUUAGUGGGCAAAUUUGUUAACUUUUUAAAAUUUCCCUGUAUGUUUACAUUAAAAAAAAUUCACACAAAUAAAACAGCUCUAUCAAAAGUA
Molecule: long non-coding RNA, 1712 nt
Organism: Aethalodelphis obliquidens (Pacific white-sided dolphin)
Lineage: Eukaryota; Metazoa; Chordata; Mammalia; Artiodactyla; Delphinidae
Exons: 2
Source: RefSeq, a predicted model, not a curated record